This is a long non-coding RNA of Oncorhynchus tshawytscha (Chinook salmon), 1050 nucleotides long. The record is from Ensembl. Lineage: Eukaryota; Metazoa; Chordata; Actinopteri; Salmoniformes; Salmonidae.
GAGAGAAACAGGAAGAGACAGAGAGAGGGAGAGGGAGAGAAACAGGAAGAGACAGAGAGAGGGAGAGGGAGAGAAACAGGAAGAGACAGAGAGGGAGAGAAACAGGAAGAGACAGAGAGGGAGAGAAACAGGAAGAGACAGAGAGAGGGAGAGAAACAGGAAGAGACAGAGAGAGACGGAGAGAGAGAGAGCGACAGAGAGAGACAGAGAGAGGGAGAGGGAGAGAAACAGGAAGAGACGGAGAGGGAGAGAAACAGGAAGAGACAGAGAGAGACAGAGAGAGAGAGAGAGGGAGAGGGUGAGAAACAGGAAGAGACAGAGGGAGAGGGAGAGAGAGAGAAACAGGAAAAGACAGAGAGAGACCGAGAGAGACAGAGAGAGAGGGAGAGACAGAGAGAGACACAGACACAGAGAGAGGGAGGGAGAGGGAGAGAAACAGGAAGAGACAGAGAGAGAGAGAGAGAGCCAGAGAGAGAGACAGAGAGAGACACAGAGACACAGAGAGAGGGAGGGAGAGGGAGAGGGAGAGAAACAGGAAGAGAGAGAGAGACAGAGAGAGACAGAGAGAGACAGAGAGACAGAGAGAGAGAGAGAGAGAGAGAGAGAGAGAGAGAGAGAGAGACAGAGAGAGACAGAGAGAGACAGAGAGAGAGAGACAGAGAAAGACAGAGAGAGACAGAGAGAGAAAGAUGCGGGAUAACAGAGAGUCUUGAGGUAGUGUAGAGAAUAGAUCAGUACCUGGGCCAGGAUAGAACAUAGGUAGGUCGGAGAAGGUUCGUAUGGGAGAUAGGGAAGAGAAGUUUUGAGAGAGGUAGGAGAAUGUUUGUAUGGGAGAUCGGUAGGAGAAGGUUUGUAUGGCAGAUUAGUAGGAGAAGGUUUGUAUGGGAGAUAGGGAAGAGAAGGUUUGUAUGGGAGACAGGUAGGAUAAGGUUGGUAUGGGAGAUAGAUAGGAGAAGGUUUGUACGGGAGAUAGGUAAGAGAAGGUUUGUACGGGAGACAGGUAGGAGGAGGUUAGCCCAAGUGUGUUUGUUCAAUUCUGAACGAGGACAG